This 133-nucleotide small RNA is filed under the name Arabidopsis thaliana (thale cress). Its description in RNAcentral is "ATSL250070". The record is from RNAcentral. Lineage: Eukaryota; Viridiplantae; Streptophyta; Magnoliopsida; Brassicales; Brassicaceae.
AGUUAUUUGAACAUGCUUCACUUAUAUAUAUAUAUUUACUAGAUUUUAACCCGCGGUAUACCGCGGGACGAUUUAUUUUUUAAAAGUAAUAUAUAUUAAAAUUUGUAAAUUUUAUUUUUAUAAAAUAUUUAUA